AAGAAGUCAGGCCGGAUUAAGCCAUAGUACGGUAAAAGCUAUGCUGCCUGUGAGCCCCGUCUAAGGACGUAAAAUGAAGUCAGGCCGAAAGCCACGGCUUGAGCAAACCGUGCUGCCUGUAGCUCCAUCGUGGGGAUGUAAAAACCUGGGAGGCUGCAACCCAUGGAAGCUGUACGCAUGGGGUAGCAGACU
RNAcentral lists this long non-coding RNA (192 nucleotides) under dengue virus type 1. RNAcentral describes it as "Dengue virus 1 partial sfRNA1". Lineage: Riboviria; Orthornavirae; Kitrinoviricota; Flasuviricetes; Amarillovirales; Flaviviridae. The record is from RNAcentral.